Molecule: long non-coding RNA, 804 nt
Filed under: Pan troglodytes (chimpanzee)
Lineage: Eukaryota; Metazoa; Chordata; Mammalia; Primates; Hominidae
Description: long non-coding RNA NONPTRT015986
Source: RNAcentral
CCAUGCAUACACGCACACACACCCCCACACACCACACAUACUGCACACAUACCACGUACACACACACCCAACACAGACAUCACACACUGCACACACACCAUGUAUACAUGCACACAAACCCCCAAACAUCACACACACCACACACCAUGUGCACGUGCACACACCCCACCACAGACACAUACACUGCACACAGACCAGGUGCACACACGCACACCCCUGAUACGCCACACACACACCAUGUGCACACACACACCCCAGACACCACACACACUGCACACACACCAUGUGCACAUGCACACACAUCCCCACACCACAAUGCACAAUGUGCACACACGCAUACCCCCCACACACCGCACACACUACACCACACACAAGAAUCUACUACACACACAACAUACACAUACAGCACCACACACACCCCAUACUCCCCACACACAUCAAACACACGCCCCACACAUACUCCCCACACACUGCACACGUAUAUAUAGCACCACACAGAGCACACACAUCACAUACACACCACACAUACUGUGCACACACACACCACACAUUCUACACUCAUCACACAUCAAACACUACACACAGUACACACACAUCCAGCACCAUACACACACACAUCACAUAAACCACAAACUGCACACACAUAUAUCAUACGCACACCACACCACACGUAGUACACACCCACCACACACACAUACACCACAAACACAGCACAUAUACACACCAUGCACCACCCACAAACUACACACAGUAUACACACAUAACACCCACAAUACACACUACACACACAUAUACAUACCCCAU